AUUGAACGCUGGCGGCAGGCCUAACACAUGCAAGUCGAACGGUAACAGGAAACAGCUUGCUGUUUCGCUGACGAGUGGCGGACGGGUGAGUAAUGUCUGGGAAACUGCCUGAUGGAGGGGGAUAACUACAGGAAACGGUAGCUAAUACCGCAUAACGUCGCAAGACCAAAGAGGGGGACCCUCGGGCCUCUUGCCAUCGGAUGUGCCCAGAUGGGAUUAGCUUGUUGGUGGGGUAACGGCUCACCAAGGCGACGAUCCCUAGCUGGUCUGAGAGGAUGACCAGCCACACUGGAACUGAGACACGGUCCAGACUCCUACGGGAGGCAGCAGUGGGGAAUAUUGCACAAUGGGCGCAAGCCUGAUGCAGCCAUGCCGCGUGUAUGAAGAAGGCCUUCGGGUUGUAAAGUACUUUCAGCGGGGAGGAAGGGAGUAAAGUUAAUACCUUUGCUCAUUGACGUUACCCGCAGAAGAAGCACCGGCUAACUCCGUG
Molecule: ribosomal RNA, 490 nt
Filed under: uncultured bacterium
Lineage: Bacteria
Description: partial 16S ribosomal RNA
Rfam family: Bacterial small subunit ribosomal RNA
Source: RNAcentral